GAUGAACGCUGGCGGCGUGCCUAAUACAUGCAAGUCGAGCGAACGGACGAGAAGCUUGCUUUUCUGAUGUUAGCGGCGGACGGGUGAGUAACACGUGGAUAACCUACCUAUAAGACUGGGAUAACUUCGGGAAACCGGAGCUAAUACCGGAUAAUAUUUUGAACCGCAUGGUUCAAAAGUGAAAGACGGUCUUGCUGUCACUUAUAGAUGGAUCCGCGCUGCAUUAGCUAGUUGGUAAGGUAACGGCUUACCAAGGCAACGAUGCAUAGCCGGCCUGAGAGGGUGAUCGGCCACACUGGAACUGAGACACGGUCCAGACUCCUACGGGAGGCAGCAGUAGGGAAUCUUCCGCAGUGGGCGAAAGCCUGACGGAGCAACGCCGCGUGAGUGAUGAAGGUCUUCGGAUCGUAAAACUCUGUUAUUAGGGAAGAACAUAUGUGUAAGUAACUGUGCACAUCUUGACGGUACCUAAUCAGAAAGCCACGGCUAACUACGU
RNAcentral lists this ribosomal RNA (496 nucleotides) under uncultured bacterium. RNAcentral's name for it is "partial 16S ribosomal RNA". It matches the Rfam family "Bacterial small subunit ribosomal RNA", at positions 28 to 506 of the family's 1533-position model. The record is from RNAcentral.